Molecule: ribosomal RNA, 253 nt
Filed under: uncultured bacterium
Lineage: Bacteria
Description: partial 16S ribosomal RNA
Rfam family: Bacterial small subunit ribosomal RNA
Source: RNAcentral
UACGGAGGGAGCUAGCGUUGUUCGGAAUUACUGGGCGUAAAGCGCACGUAGGCGGCUUUGUAAGUUAGAGGUGAAAGCCCGGGGCUCAACCCCGGAAUUGCCUUUAAGACUGCAUCGCUUGAAUCCGGGAGAGGUGAGUGGAAUUCCGAGUGUAGAGGUGGAAUUCGUAGAUAUUCGCAAGAACACCAGUGGCGAAGGCGGCUCACUGGCCCGAUACUGAAGCUGAGGUGCGAAAGCGUGGGGAGCAAACAGG